Molecule: transfer RNA, 90 nt
Filed under: Clostridioides difficile
Lineage: Bacteria; Bacillati; Bacillota; Clostridia; Peptostreptococcales; Peptostreptococcaceae
Description: tRNA-Ser
Rfam family: tRNA
About the family: Transfer RNA (tRNA) molecules are approximately 80 nucleotides in length. Their secondary structure includes four short double-helical elements and three loops (D, anti-codon, and T loops).
Source: RNAcentral
GGAGAGGUGUCCGAGUGGUUUAAGGAGCUGGUCUUGAAAACCAGUGACUUCUGAAAGGGGCCGUGGGUUCGAAUCCCACCCUCUCCGCCA